UCCGGUUUGUCACCGGCAGUCACGUUAGAGUGCCCGGCUUUACCCGUUGGCAACUAACAUCGAGGGUUGCGCUCGUUGCGGGACUUAACCCAACAUCUCACGACACGAGCUGACGACAACCAUGCACCACCUGUACACCGACCACAAGGGGGCGCCUGUCUCCAGACGUUUCCGGUGUAUGUCAAGCCUUGGUAAGGUUCUUCGCGUUGCAUCGAAUUAAUCCACAUGCUCCGCCGCUUGUGCGGGCCCCCGUCAAUUCCUUUGAGUUUUAGCCUUGCGGCCGUACUCCCCAGGCGGGGCGCUUAAUGCGUUAGCUACGGCACGGAUUCCGUGGAAGGAACCCACACCUAGCGCCCACCGUUUACGGCGUGGACUAC
Molecule: unclassified non-coding RNA, 377 nt
Filed under: uncultured Actinomycetes bacterium
Lineage: Bacteria; Bacillati; Actinomycetota; Actinomycetes
Description: uncultured actinobacterium contains 16S-23S intergenic spacer region
Source: RNAcentral